Molecule: long non-coding RNA, 318 nt
Organism: Selaginella moellendorffii
Lineage: Eukaryota; Viridiplantae; Streptophyta; Lycopodiopsida; Selaginellales; Selaginellaceae
Exons: 2
Source: RefSeq, a predicted model, not a curated record
AUUUGACGGUCUUUUUCUUUUCUUUUUUUUCUGCAGUGGUCCAGAGGAGAUGGGCAUGCUGUAUGGGGGACUGAAACUGGGCAAGGACUUGCGAGAGAUCUGUAUGAGCAUUCUCCUUUACCGCGGGAUGAACUGCGAGGAUGUGACUACACCGCUCGCUCUUGGCAAAGUCAAGGCUGGAAACCAGUAGAGUUACUUAUUUUCAUGAAGAAGCUAUCAUCUGUUGAAUAUUUCGCUUCUUCCAAAAGAUUUCUUAUCGAAAGAAAUCUUGCAUAAUCGUAUAUGCUGCCCACAGCAUACGACUCUUCUAUGGAUAAA